UGCAACCACACAUUUUGAGACGAUGUAUAUGCCCUCUGAUCCCGCUGGAAUAGUGGGCAGACAGGCCGGAUGGAAAUAUGUAGUUCCGUUCACAGUAUUGAUGUGUGAUUGGACGGAUGGUGAAUUGCCGCAUGGAGGCUCACUUGCCACAGUCCACAACAGGUGGCUGUGCUCGUGAGUCCAUCUGCAGAUGCUUUAGUUAUUAAUGUAUGCCUUUUUUAUUAAAUUCACUGAAAGACAAGUUGUUACGUUGGUUUGUGUCUUGUUUUAACCGAAACUGCCACCACAAUUUUGCGUUGUCGGCAGGAUCACUCGUGUGAGCGGGACCGCUGGAACUCUGUGCGAGGGUAAAGACUGUGCACUUCUGGAGUCCGGGACUCUAGCCUCAACCUCCCCAUAAAAAGGGUGUUGAGGUGGGGGCCUGACGCCAAGGAGGACCAAGUCUCGCUCACCGCUGUGAUACAAAGAACCAGGUGGCAAAGAAAAAAAAAAAAAAAUAAACAACUCUGUCUUUCUGGUAAGUAAGAAUUCAUUGAUAAAAAGGCAUACAUUAAAAGAUUUCAUUCAUACGGCGUCUGUACAGGGGGAUACAGUAUCUGUACAGGGGGAUAAAGUGCUGUUGGGGAAUGAAGAGAGGGAUUCUCCCACUUCGAGGGUGGUUGUGACAGACGUGUCAACAGGGCAGGUGUUAGACGACCGCUGUAGAAUCCAGGGCUAGCACAAUACGGUACCAAGGAGUUCAGGGAACUCAGAGGGAUAACAUCAAUACACUGUAAUCACACAUAGUGUAAUAAUUAUAAUAAUAUUGCUAUCUUUUUUCUUUUGAUCCAGUGGACUGAUCACCCACUGGAAGAAAAAGAAAAAAGAGGGGGUGAAAGGGUAACUAGAAGUAAGACCUUACUGGAGUUAAAGCAUAACCACCUGUAGGAGUUGAAGUAUAUAAAGGUACAACCACCUGUAGAAAUCUCUAAGCAAAAAAUCUUGAUAAAAAAUUAUUUCAUGGAGACAUUGGAAAUCCAGACUGGGAUUUUGCAUGUAUGAGAAAGUGUGCACUUUGACGGAAGAAAGUCACCGCUCUUCAAAUCUGUAGUGAGAGAGUGAGUGAGAAUGGCUGUGAAUGGGGUUCAGAUGAAUUAAGAAGAAAAAUGACAAAGGCGAUGAUUAAUGAUAGGAUUAAACGCCAAGGUAAAACUCCGUCCCCUCAGUGUUUGUUGAGUGUGUUGACUGAAGCUAAAAUCCCACUUUUAGAGCAAUUGAAUUGAACUGAACAAAUUCACUGUUUCACUUUACCCCAAGAUAACGAUAAAGCAAAAGCUUCAGAGGCAGAGUUAGGAAAAA
Sebastes umbrosus (honeycomb rockfish) is the source of this 1338-nucleotide long non-coding RNA. RefSeq lists it as uncharacterized. The record is from RefSeq and is a predicted model, not a curated record. Lineage: Eukaryota; Metazoa; Chordata; Actinopteri; Perciformes; Sebastidae. The transcript is spliced from 2 exons.